Molecule: ribosomal RNA, 1031 nt
Filed under: Triticum aestivum (bread wheat)
Lineage: Eukaryota; Viridiplantae; Streptophyta; Magnoliopsida; Poales; Poaceae
Description: partial small subunit ribosomal RNA
Source: RNAcentral
GCCCAACAACCAUUUUUCAGAGGAAAAGAGCACAAGAGGUCCGGCUCCAUUACAUAGCAAAGAAACCAAAUUGUCUUACACAGUACCAAAUCAGCACGCGGAGGACAGCCCCACCGCUGCCCCAGCAAAGACUACAAGCCUAAAUGACAGAAUUAAAAACUAAGAUCAACUAAGGACGCACACCCAAAAGGGGACAACGACACUAGUAAAGCAGCAAACUCAUACAGAACCAAAUCAGAUUGAGGCGGAGCUCGCCGGAACUGAGCUGCUCGCCCAACAACGCCGAGAGGGCCGCGUCGCGCAUCGUCAUGGUCAACGUCUGGUCAUGCCCUAUUGUUGUUUGGCGGCCGUGUAGGAGGGAGGACGAGCCGCGGAAGAGAGGAGGGUGGAGCUUCACGCAGCGCUGGCGAGCUGGCGGAGCUUCACGUGGCGGAGACGGAGGAGCUUCUCGCGGCGGCGCCGGAGUUGAACGCGGCGGCGACGGCGGUGCUGCACGCUGACGAUGAUGGACAGGCAGGCGAGGGGCGCGGUGCUGGAAGGACGAACGAGCGGCGUGGAGUGCGGCUUCUCGGGGAUGGGCGGGCGCGGCGCCGGCUGGACGAGCGACGGGCGCGGAGCCGGCUGCUCGGGGACGGGCGGGCGCGGCGCCAGCCGGACGAGCGACGGGCGCGGAGCCGGCUGCUGGGGACGGGCGGGCGCGGCGCCGGCCAGAUGAGCGACGGGCGCGGAGCCAGCUGCUCGGGGACGGGCGGGCGCGGCGCCGGUCGGAGGAGCGACGGGCGCGGAGCCGGCUGCUCGGGGACGGGUUGACGGGCAGGUGCUGGCCGGCGGCGUGCGGGUGCUCGAGGAUGGGUUGACGGGCAGGUGCUGGCCGGCGGCGUGCGGGCGUGCGGCUGCUCGGGGACGCCGGACAGGCGGGCGGGUGCUGGGAGAGAGGAGGAAGCUGGCCGGCGGCGUGGCUCUGGUCGGGGGAGACGGAGAGAGGAGCAGGAGAGAGGAGGGCGCUGAGGGGAUUAGGAGAGAGAGAGGAG